UCCCCCCUUGCUCACAUGGAUGUUAGC
RNAcentral lists this unclassified non-coding RNA (27 nucleotides) under Mus musculus (house mouse). Its description in RNAcentral is "oocyte_clustered_small_RNA10256". Lineage: Eukaryota; Metazoa; Chordata; Mammalia; Rodentia; Muridae. The record is from RNAcentral.